This 81-nucleotide transfer RNA is filed under the name Mesorhizobium sp. Its description in RNAcentral is "tRNA-Arg". Lineage: Bacteria; Pseudomonadati; Pseudomonadota; Alphaproteobacteria; Hyphomicrobiales; Phyllobacteriaceae. The record is from RNAcentral.
GCGCUGGCGAACGAAGGGCGGAGUAGGCGAUUUGCCCUCCGAAGGCAGAGGUCACAAGUUCGAAUCUUGUCGGGUGCGCCA